GAAAUAAGUUGAACAAGAAAAAGCUUCUAACUUUAAUCUUAAACGGUUUAAAUCCGUUUUUAUUUCU
This 67-nucleotide transfer RNA is filed under the name Scirtidae sp. GENSP02. RNAcentral describes it as "tRNA-Ser". The record is from RNAcentral. Lineage: Eukaryota; Metazoa; Arthropoda; Insecta; Coleoptera; Scirtidae.